AUUUGUUUAUAAAUACAGAUGCAAAGCAGCCUAGCCCAAGGGAUGUUCCUGGCCGGCGCUGGCGGGCGCGGCGCGUACGCCGGCGCGGCGCUGCAGGGCCCGCUGGCGUACCUCGAGAAAACUGCCACUAACAUAGACAUGGUGGGGCUUGGCGACGGACGCAGGUGACGCGGCCGCGGGAGGGGCAGGGGGCGCGGCCGCGGCAGAGGACGCGGGCGAGGCGCAUCCCCCGAGUAUGGCGGCAGCAUGACGCCGCCGUAGCGCCCCCUCCCGGCGCGGCGGCGACACACGCACACUCGCUCGACAUCACCUCGCUAUGUUGGCUAACUUGUUUUCUAAGUUUUUUUUAUAUAAUUGUGAUCUGAGCCAUAAAGUUUGGAGGAAUCCGGCGAUAGGAUAUAUACUUGGUGAAGCAGAUCUUGUCGGUAGAAAAGGCGGCAAAUUUGAAAAAUGUAGGCGCGAAGGGAUAGCGUCUCAUAGAAAAUUUGAGUUUCGCGCCUUUUUCUACUGACAAGAUUUGAUUGACCAUCUAUAC
Cydia splendana is the source of this 535-nucleotide long non-coding RNA. RefSeq lists it as uncharacterized. The transcript is spliced from 3 exons. The record is from RefSeq and is a predicted model, not a curated record. NCBI's taxonomy places the organism in Eukaryota, Metazoa, Arthropoda, Insecta, Lepidoptera, Tortricidae.